Molecule: ribosomal RNA, 460 nt
Filed under: uncultured bacterium
Lineage: Bacteria
Description: partial 16S ribosomal RNA
Rfam family: Bacterial small subunit ribosomal RNA
Source: RNAcentral
CCUACGGGAGGCAGCAGUGAGGAAUAUUGGUCAAUGGACGGAAGUCUGAACCAGCCAUGCCGCGUGCAGGAAGACGGCUCUAUGAGUUGUAAACUGCUUUUGUACAAGGGUAAACCUGAAUACGUGUAUUCAGCUGAAAGUACUGUACGAAUAAGGAUCGGCUAACUCCGUGCCAGCAGCCGCGGUAAUACGGAGGAUCCAAGCGUUAUCCGGAUUUAUUGGGUUUAAAGGGUGCGUAGGCGGAUUUGUAAGCUCGCGGUGAAAUCUCCGGGCUUAACUCCGGUAGUGCCUCUGAUACUGUUGGUCUAGAGAGCAGAGGCGGUAUGCGGAAUGCGUGGUGUAGCGGUGAAAUGCAUAGAUAUCGUGCAGAACACCGAUUGCGAAGGCAGCGUACCGGUCUGUAACUGACGCUGAGGCACGAAAGCGUGGGGAGCGAACAGGAUUAGAUACCCCUGUAGUC